GUCCAGCAACUAUUUACUCAAUCGAGUAAUUCGUUAUUCUAGAGCACCACCAAGCAGAAGCUAAGUGACAAUAGUAAACGAGAAUUUAACGAUUGUCAGUUUAGAUGAUUGACAAAACGACAACCAGAGCAAGCUGUCCAGAUUUAUCAGCCGGACGUAUCAUGGAAAAAUUUUUAGAGCAAAUCAAUCAGAGGAAUAAAAAAGUGGAGAGAAACUUGAAACGCGGGUUUUAAAUAAUGUCGCGGAGGAUCCUGCCGGACGAUUAAUCCUUCCGACAACCCUUCGCUUAGUCAGUGGGUAAACUCGCAUGUCAGU
Molecule: long non-coding RNA, 315 nt
Organism: Cotesia glomerata
Lineage: Eukaryota; Metazoa; Arthropoda; Insecta; Hymenoptera; Braconidae
Exons: 2
Source: RefSeq, a predicted model, not a curated record